GCACAAGCGGUGGAGCAUGUGGUUAAUUCGAAGCAACGCGAAGAACCUUACCAGGUCUUGACAUCCCCUGACAACCCGAGAGAUCGGGCGUUCCCCUUCAGGGGGACAGGGUGACAGGUGGUGCAUGGUUGUCGUCAGCUCGUGUCGUGAGAUGUUGGGUUAAGUCCCGCAACGAGCGCAACCCUCGCCUCUAGUUGCCAGCAUUCGGUUGGGCACUCUAGAGGGACUGCCGGCGACAAGUCGGAGGAAGGUGGGGAUGACGUCAAAUCAUCAUGCCCCUUAUGACCUGGGCUACACACGUGCUACAAUGGGCGGUACAAAGGGCUGCGAACCCGCGAGGGGGAGCGAAUCCCAAAAAGCCGCUCUCAGUUCGGAUUGCAGGCUGCAACUCGCCUGCAUGAAGCCGGAAUCGCUAGUAAUCGCGGAUCAGCAUGCCGCGGUGAAUACGUUCCCGGGCCUU
Molecule: ribosomal RNA, 460 nt
Filed under: uncultured Geobacillus sp.
Lineage: Bacteria; Bacillati; Bacillota; Bacilli; Caryophanales; Anoxybacillaceae
Description: bacterial SSU rRNA
Rfam family: Bacterial small subunit ribosomal RNA
Source: RNAcentral